UACGUAGGGGGCAAGCGUUGUCCGGAAUCAUUGGGCGUAAAGAGCGUGUAGGCGGCUCGGUAAGUCCGCUGUGAAAGCCCAGGGCUCAACCCUGGAAUGCCGGUGGAAACUGCCUGGCUAGAGUCCGGAAGAGGAGAGUGGAAUUCCUGGUGUAGCGGUGAAAUGCGCAGAUAUCAGGAAGAACACCCGUGGCUAAGGCGGCUCACUGGUCCGGUACUGACGCUGAGGUGCGAAAGCGUGGGGAGCGAACAGG
Molecule: ribosomal RNA, 253 nt
Filed under: uncultured bacterium
Lineage: Bacteria
Description: partial 16S ribosomal RNA
Rfam family: Bacterial small subunit ribosomal RNA
Source: RNAcentral